GAUGAACGCUGGCGGCGUGCCUAAUACAUGCAAGUCGAACGAACGGACGCGCAUUUUGCUUUUGUGAUGUUAGCGGCGGACGGGGGAGUAACAAGUGGAUAGCCUACCUAUACUACUUGGAUAACUUCGGCAAACCGGAGCUAAUACCGGAUAGUAUUUUGAACCGCAUGGUUCAAUGGUGUAAGACGGUCUUGCUGUCACUUAUAGAUGUAUCCGCGCUGCAUUCGCUAGUUGUUAAGGUAACGUCUUACCAAGGCAACGAGGCAUGGCCGACCUGAGAGGGGGAGCGGGCACACUGGAAGUGAGACACGGUGCAGACUCCUACGGGAGGCAGCAGUAGGGAAUAUUCCGCAAUGGGCGAAAGCCUGACGGGGCAACGCCGCGUGAGUGAUGAAGGGCUUCGGAUCGUAAAACUCUGUUAUGAGGGAAGAACAGAUGUGUAAGUAACUGGGCACAUCGUGACGGGACCGAAUCAGAAAGCGACGGCUAACUACGUG
RNAcentral lists this ribosomal RNA (497 nucleotides) under uncultured bacterium. Its description in RNAcentral is "partial 16S ribosomal RNA". It matches the Rfam family "Bacterial small subunit ribosomal RNA", at positions 28 to 507 of the family's 1533-position model. The record is from RNAcentral.